UCCCUGAGACUUAAAGUCUCCUGAAGGAACGUUGAAGACGACGACGUUGAUAGGUCGGGUGUGUAAGCGCAGCGAUGCGUUGAGCUAACCGAUACUAAUGAACCGUGAGGCUUAACCUUACAACGCCGAAG
RNAcentral lists this ribosomal RNA (131 nucleotides) under Enterobacter cloacae. RNAcentral describes it as "partial 23S ribosomal RNA". It matches the Rfam family "Bacterial large subunit ribosomal RNA", at positions 2812 to 2925 of the family's 2925-position model. Lineage: Bacteria; Pseudomonadati; Pseudomonadota; Gammaproteobacteria; Enterobacterales; Enterobacteriaceae. The record is from RNAcentral.